RNAcentral lists this ribosomal RNA (400 nucleotides) under uncultured bacterium. RNAcentral's name for it is "bacterial SSU rRNA". It matches the Rfam family "Bacterial small subunit ribosomal RNA", at positions 109 to 507 of the family's 1533-position model. The record is from RNAcentral.
AGUAACACGUAGGCAAUCUACCUUUAGGACUGACACAACUCGUACGAAGACGGGCUAAUAUCAGAUAAUGCAGCGGCUCCGCAUGGAGACAGUUGUUAAAGUACAAGCGCCUGAAGAUGAGCCUGCGGUCCAUUAGCUAGUUGGUAGAGUAACGGCCUACCAAGGCAACGAUGGAUAGCUGGUCUGAGAGGAUGAUCAGCCACACUGGAACUGAGACACGGUCCAGACUCCUACGGGAGGCAGCAGUAAGGAAUAUUGCUCAAUGGCCGAAAGGCUGAAGCAGCAACGCCGCGUGAAGGAUGAAUGGCCUUUGGCCUGUAAACUUCUGUAAAAGAGGAAAAAUAGUUAGGUAUAUCCUAAUGUGAUUGUACUCUUGAAGUAAGCCCCGGCUAACUACGUG